GAACGCGAAGACCCAGCAAUGGGUUGGUAGCGUGGCAAACGGGUGAGUAGCGCGUGGGCGACCUACCUCCGAGUGGGGGAUAACCUUCCGAAAGGGAGGCUAAUACCGCAUGACAUCCCACUUUUGGAUAAGUGGACAUCAAAGCCGGGGAUCGCAAGACCUGGCGCUUGGAGAGGGGCCCGCGUCCGAUUAGCUAGUUGGUGAGGUAACGGCUCACCAAGGCUCCGAUCGGUAUCCGGCCUGAGAGGGCGGACGGACACACUGGAACUGAGACACGGUCCAGACUCCUACGGGAGGCAGCAGUGGGGAAUUGUUCGCAAUGGACGCAAGUCUGACGACGCAACGCCGCGUGGAGGAUGAAGACCUUCGGGUCGUAAACUCCUUUCGACCGAGAUGAAGAGGUGCCGACCUAACACGUCGGCGCAUUGACAGUAUCGAGGGAAGCAGCCCCGGCUAACUCCGUG
RNAcentral lists this ribosomal RNA (464 nucleotides) under uncultured bacterium. Its description in RNAcentral is "bacterial SSU rRNA". It matches the Rfam family "Bacterial small subunit ribosomal RNA", at positions 64 to 507 of the family's 1533-position model. The record is from RNAcentral.